GAUAGUUGGAUGAUCGCUGUUUCGCUCGACGAAAUAGAGGAAAGUCCGGGCUCCACGGAAAAACGGUGUCGGUUAACGGCCGACGAAGGCGACUUUAGGGAAAGUGCCACAGAAAACAAACCGCUUGCCGGCUAAAUCAAAAGAUUUUAGUGCAAGUAAGGGCGAAACGGUGCGGUAAGAGCGCACCGCGUUUCUGGUAACAGAAAUGGCAGGGUAAACCCCACCGGGAGCAAAACCUAAUAGGGAUGACUGACUUUAUAAAAAAAGUCAGGGGUUUUCCGCCCCGUCAUCCGGGUUGGUUGCGUGAGGCAAGAUGUGAAUCUUGUCCAAGACGAAUGAUCAUCACUAAUUUGUUGUUUAAGUAAUAACAAAUUGGAACAGAACCCGGCUUACAGGCUAUCUGGU
RNAcentral lists this RNase P RNA (405 nucleotides) under uncultured Commensalibacter sp. RNAcentral describes it as "Bacterial RNase P class A". It matches the Rfam family "Bacterial RNase P class A". Rfam says of the family: Ribonuclease P (RNase P) is a ubiquitous endoribonuclease, found in archaea, bacteria and eukarya as well as chloroplasts and mitochondria. Lineage: Bacteria; Pseudomonadati; Pseudomonadota; Alphaproteobacteria; Acetobacterales; Acetobacteraceae. The record is from RNAcentral.